UCCAUACUAACCAAUCAGCACAUAGUAUCAUCCAUAUUAACCAAUCACCACACAGCAUUCUCCAUACCAGUGGUUCCCAAACCUUUUAUAUUAUAUUAUAUUUUUGAUCAUGAUCAUAUAUAUAUACAGUAUAUAUAUUUUUUAUUUAUUUGGCGUACCCCCGACGACAUUGCACAUACCCCAGGUUGGGAAUACCUGCUCCAUACUAACUAAUCAGCACACAGCACCCCCCAAACUAACCAAUCAGCACAGAGCAUCAUCCAGUGGAAACUGUAAGUGCUUUCUAAACCUACAGAGAAGGCCUAAGGGUUGAUAAAAUAAUAGAUGUAUUUUUUAUUUCAUUUCUCUCUUUUCAAUAAUAUUUAAAUGGUAAUCUGAUUAUUUUAUAAUUUUCAAUUAUAUUCUAAUUUAAUGUCUUCAGUUUGUGUUGGAAAGGAAAGGGUUAAGAGAGGAAAGGGUGAAGAGAAAAAAAUAUCCAAUCAGGAUUUUCUUUGGGGGUUGCUGGGGAGAUAAAACCAGUUAACUAGCUUAGCUAUUGACUUUCAGAAGCCUCUGCUAUUCAACUGUAUUAGAGCAGAAUUUUGGAGUGACAGUAGAAUCAACCAAUCACAUUUUGACUUGCAAUGGGUGGGACUGUUUUACAAAAAAAAGGAAAAUGUAGGGCUAGAGACAUGUCACUGCUGAGAGUGUGAGCCAACAGCACGAGCUCUAGUUUUCCUAUGGUCAAGUUAGUUUGUGUUGUAGGCUAGUGUGUAGGUGUUAUCUUUGAGGACUGAGGAGGAUGUGUUUGCUAAUUUGUUACCAUCGCCCUUUUCAAGAUUAACUUUCAACAAGAAGUUAAAAUGAUCAUUAUCAUGCCACUGUUUUAUUAUUAUCUCGCUUGCUGUUAACUAUCUACGGGUGACCAUGACUGGGUGAAACACGGGUGACCAUGACUGGGUGAAACACAGGUGACCAUGACUGGGUGAAACACGGGUGACCAUGACUGGGUGAAACACAGGUGACCAUGACUGGGUGAAACACGGGUGACCAUGACUGGGUGAAACACGGGUGACCAUGACUGGGUGAAACACGGGUGACCAUGACUGGGUGAAACACAGGUGACCAUGACUGGGUGAAACACGGGUGACCAUGACUGGGUGAAACACGGGUGACCAUGACUGGGUGAAACACGGGUGACCAUGACUGGGUGAAACACAGGUGACCAUGACUGGGUGAAACACGGGUGACCAUGACUGGGUGAAACACGGGUGACCAUGACUGGGUGAAACACGGGUGACCAUGACUGGGUGAAACACGGGUGACCAUGACUGGGUGAAACACGGGUGACCAUGACUGGGUGAAACACGGGUGACCAUGACUGGGUGAAACACGGGUACCCAUGACUGGGUGAAACACGGGUGACCAUGACUGGGUGAACCACGGGUGACCAUGACUGGGUGAAACACGGGUGACCAUGACUGGGUGAAACACGGGUGACCAUGACUGGGUGAAACACGGGUGACCAUGACUGGGUGAAACACGGGUGACCAUGACUGGGUGAAACACGGGUGACCAUGACUGGGUGAAACACGGGUGACCAUGACUGGGUGAACCACGGGUGACCAUGACUGGGUGAAACACGGGUGACCAUGACUGGGUGAAACACGGGUGACCAUGACUGGGUGAAACACGGGUGACCAUGACUGGGUGAAACACGGGUGACCAUGACUGGGUGAAACACGGGUGACCAUGACUGGGUGAAACACGGGUGACCAUGACUGGGUGAACCACGGGUGACCAUGACUGGGUGAAACACGGGUGACCAUGACUGGGUGAAACACGGGUGACCAUGACUGGGUGAAACACGGGUGACCAUGACUGGGUGAACCACGGGUGACCAUGACUGGGUGAAACACAGGUGACCAUGACUGGGUGAAACACGGGUACCCAUGACUGGUUGAAACACGGGUGACCAUGACUGGGUGAAACACGGGUGACCAUGACUGGGUGAAACACGGGUGACCAUGACUGGGUGAAACACGGGUGACCAUGACUGGGUGAAACACGGGUGACCAUGACUGGGUGAAACACGGGUGACCAUGACUGGGUGAAACAUGACUGCAUUCAACUUUAAGAUCACCGAUUACUUUGUGUGCAGAACUUGAUGAAACAAGUUAUCAAUGGGAUGUAGCUAGCCAAUAGUAGUACAUUUUGAUUUGGAAAUGCUAAAGGGUUGUAUUUUUAUUGUCAUGAUUGGGGCCAGUUGGCUUAUUAUGUCAGAUUGAAUGGGAUGUGACUGCUGUCUUUGUGUAGCAUCGUCCAUACCAACAGCACACAAUGAUUAUAUAAACAGAUGUGUAACCAGGUGUGUUAAUAUAAAAAGGUGUGUUAAUAUAACCAGGUGUGUAAAUAUAACCAGGUGUGUAAAUAUAACCAGGUGUGUAAAUAUAACCAGGUGUGUUAAUAUAACCAGGUGUGUUAAUAUAACCAGGUGUGUAAAUAUAACCAGUUGUGUUAAUAUAAACAGGUGUGUAACCAGGUGUGUUAAUAUAAACAGGUGUGUAACCAGGUGUGUUAAUAUAACCAGGUGUGUUAAUAUAACCAGGUGUGUAAAUAUAACCAGUUGUGUUAAUAUAAACAGGUGUGUAACCAGGUGUGUUAAUAUAAACAGGUGUGUAACCAGGUGUGUUAAUAUAACCAGGUGUGUUAAUAUAACCAGGUGUGUUAAUAUAACCAGGUGUGUAACCAGGUGUGUUAAUAUAACCAGGUGUGUUGAUAUAACCAGGUGUGUAACCAGGUGUGUUAAUAUAACCAGGUGUGUUAAUAUAACCAGGUGUGUAACCAGGUGUGUUAAUAUAAACAGGUGUGUAACCAGGUGUGUUAAUAUAACCAGGUGUGUUAAUAUAACCAGGUGUGUAAAUAUAACCAGUUGUGUUAAUAUAAACAGGUGUGUAACCAGGUGUGUUAAUAUAAACAGGUGUGUAACCAGGUGUGUUAAUAUAACCAGGUGUGUUAAUAUAACCAGGUGUGUUAAUAUAACAAGGUGUGUUAAUAUAACCAGGUGUGUAACCAGGUGUGUUAAUAUAACCAGGUGUGUUAAUAUAACCAGGUGUGUAACCAGGUGUGUUAAUAUAACCAGGUGUGUUAAUAUAACCAGGUGUGUAACCAGGUGUGUUAAUAU
Long non-coding RNA from Oncorhynchus keta (chum salmon), 3163 nucleotides. RefSeq lists it as uncharacterized. The record is from RefSeq and is a predicted model, not a curated record. The transcript is spliced from 4 exons. Lineage: Eukaryota; Metazoa; Chordata; Actinopteri; Salmoniformes; Salmonidae.